RNAcentral lists this ribosomal RNA (223 nucleotides) under uncultured bacterium. Its description in RNAcentral is "partial 16S ribosomal RNA". It matches the Rfam family "Bacterial small subunit ribosomal RNA", at positions 107 to 334 of the family's 1533-position model. The record is from RNAcentral.
UGAGUAACACGUAUCCAACCUGCCGUCUACUCUUGGCCAGCCUUCUGAAAGGAAGAUUAAUCCAGGAUGGCAUCAUGAGUUCACAUGUCCGCAUGAUUAAAGGUAUUCCGGUAGACGAUGGGGAUGCGUUCCAUUAGAUAGUAGGCGGGGUAACGGCCCACCAGCUCGAUGGAUAGGGGUUCUGAGAGGAAGGUCCCCCACAUUGGAACUGAGACACGGCCAA